GUGGAUGAGUGUUCGAUGACUCAGCAUCUCCGGGAGGGAUGAGUGUUAAAGGUUUAUUUGGGUCUGUGAAGGCAGCUGGCAUGAUGGCUCUCCUGCUUGUGGUCUUGGGGGUUUUAGCAGCAGCCAGUCUGGCAGGUAAAGCCAGUGCGAGUGUCUUUGAAUGUGUGUGUGAUGGGCCGUCAUGUGGCAGUAGCAGCCACUGCUUUGGAGCGCAGUGCUUCUCCUCUCUCUCGCUCCGGAACGGGACAGUCCUCCACCAGAAGGGGUGCAUUGUGGGUACAGAGGAAGGGGCAGACCAGUGCGGAAGCUCCCUGCAGG
Molecule: long non-coding RNA, 318 nt
Organism: Electrophorus electricus (electric eel)
Lineage: Eukaryota; Metazoa; Chordata; Actinopteri; Gymnotiformes; Gymnotidae
Source: Ensembl